ACGGAAGGCAGCAGUGGGGGAUAUUGCACAAUGGGCGAAAGCCUGAUGCAGCGACGCCGCGUGAGGGAAGACGGCUUUCGGAUUGUAAACCUCUGUCUUCGGGGACGAAAAUGACGGUACCCGAGGAGGAAGCCACGGCUAACUACGUGCCAGCAGCCGCGGUAAUACGUAGGUGGCAAGCGUUGUCCGGAAUUACUGGGUGUAAAGGGAGAGUAGGCGGGAUUGCAAGUCCGUUGUUAAAUCUAUCGGCUCAACCGAUAGUUGCGGCGGAAACUGUAGUUCUUGAGUGAAGUAGAGGCAGGCGGAAUUCCUAGUGUAGCGGUGAAAUGCGUAGAUAUUAGGAGGAACACCAGUGGCGAAGGCGGCUUACUGGACUGUAACUGACGUUGAGGCUCGAAAGCGUGGGGAGCAAACAGGAUUAGAUACCCUGGUA
RNAcentral lists this ribosomal RNA (433 nucleotides) under uncultured Anaerotruncus sp. RNAcentral describes it as "partial 16S ribosomal RNA". It matches the Rfam family "Bacterial small subunit ribosomal RNA", at positions 341 to 792 of the family's 1533-position model. Lineage: Bacteria; Bacillati; Bacillota; Clostridia; Eubacteriales; Oscillospiraceae. The record is from RNAcentral.